Molecule: ribosomal RNA, 254 nt
Filed under: uncultured bacterium
Lineage: Bacteria
Description: partial 16S ribosomal RNA
Rfam family: Bacterial small subunit ribosomal RNA
Source: RNAcentral
UACGUAGGGUGCGAGCGUUGUCCGGAAUUAUUGGGCGUAAAGAGCUCGUAGGCGGCUUAGCAAGUCGGGUGUGAAAACUCCAGGCUCAACCUGGAGACGCCACUCGAGACUGCUAUGGCUAGAGUCCGGUAGGGGACCACGGAAUUCCUGGUGUAGCGGUGAAAUGCGCAGAUAUCGGAAGGAACAUCAGUGGCGAAAGCGGCUUCCUGGACCAGUACCGACGUUCAGGCACGAAAGCGUGGGGAGCAAACAGG